ACACCCACCAUAUAAAGAGGAAGAAGAUUGUCCAGAGCUGCAAUGGUUGAAGGAGAGGCUACGGAUGUGUGAAGGAUGAAGAGAAAGGAGAAGAACAGCAGUCACUGGUUUUGAACGUUUUACACAAAAUGCAAAGUGGAAAUGAGGAGAAGAAUUGAUUCAUUGUCUGGAGAAGGAUGCAUGCGGAAACAAUCUGAAGAAGACGACAAACAUGGGGCCACCAAUAUUUGUUUUGGUUUUAGAGCAUUUGCCUUGACAAAAGAUUUGAUUGAAUGUGUCCAAAAUCCAAAUUGAAAAGCAUAGGGGUGUCCGGAAUAUUAUUCUUAAUAACUAAAAAGGGGAGAAUAAAGCUACGUCCAGAAGUUCACGGGAGGAGACUAUGCUACGGGAGUUGGUCAGAGAAUUGGUUAUAAAAGCAAGGCAGCAUGCAGAGAAGAAGGCAGUAGAUUUUAGGAGUAGUUUAGG
Molecule: small RNA, 465 nt
Filed under: Vigna angularis var. angularis
Lineage: Eukaryota; Viridiplantae; Streptophyta; Magnoliopsida; Fabales; Fabaceae
Description: Non-protein coding transcript
Source: RNAcentral